CCGAGGCUGGCCUGGCCUUGCAGUUUUGUGUGGCAGCUCCCAAGAUCCGGGAGUCGGACUCCUGGGCAGCUGGGGUCCGCCAGGCCGUCCCGUUACCCCAGGCCCAUAGCUCAUGGACCUCCAGCCCUAUAUGAAGGCACUGCCUGUAGCUGGGAUCUGAUGCUUGCUGGUGCCAACAGCUGAUACCAGGUGCGCUGGGAUGACGGAAGCACAUCACAGCUUCCAGCUUUCCCACGAAGUCUGGGGAUUCAAACUCAGGUCUUCAUGAGAUCUCCCACGGAGCGGUAUCUGGGGAGGCCGAGAACACAGAAGAAGCUGAAGGGGGAAUGGGAAAGACACUGCCACCAAGUUGUUGGGU
Jaculus jaculus (lesser Egyptian jerboa) is the source of this 358-nucleotide long non-coding RNA. RefSeq lists it as uncharacterized. The transcript has 3 exons. Lineage: Eukaryota; Metazoa; Chordata; Mammalia; Rodentia; Dipodidae. The record is from RefSeq and is a predicted model, not a curated record.